CCCUCAGAACAGAAAAAAGAAACAUCAAUCGAAAUAUAUUGUAAAAAUAUUAAAUUAGGGAAAGGAGCAGGAUCAGACGCGUUAUACUAAAUGGGAUCAGGAUCAGGAGCAUAUGUACAGGAAAUGGAAGAAGACAAAUUUUAAACCGACUGACUGGCGCUCUCGCCGACUGUUGAAGCUACCGGCCUCUGAAGUCGCAGCGAGGAGCGACAUGGCAACGCAAAUUGGUAUUUGUUAUGACUUAGAAGCGCAUAUCGCUGCUGCGGAACAUAGUCCCACAACGCCCGCUCGAUCACAUGAAGAGCGUCCGGACUGAGCACGUCCGCUGUAUACUGCGUAGGAGCCCCAACGACCAAGGACAUGGCUGAAAUAAAUUACAAACAUAAAAUUAUAUAUAAUUGAUUCCCAACGAUGAUGGAAAACAUUACUUUGUGCCACUGGUGCCUUGUACAAUGACUCCGCCGUCAUGCCGCAUGUAUCCAAAGCGACCACACUGACGCCAUAGGGAUGCAGCUCCUUGCGCAGCUCUUCGGCACACUUGUCUACGGCAACGCGUGAGGCGUUAAAGGCAACCAGUCCAUCACCUUCGUUUCGAGCAUUUCCACCUCCACUUACUCCUCCCAAGUAAAGGAGUCUUCCACGUGUCGGACGGAGAAAACACACAAAGGCCUUGGCCACACGUAAGGUGCCCAGGAUGUUGGUUCUGAGCAUGUGUUCCCACUGCUGGACAUUCUGCGAUUCAACCUGGCCUCGGAAAACACUGCCACUAGUGUUAAUUACGGCCGCAAUACCGCGCUCAUCUGCAUUUAGAUUAGCGCCUAUAAUAACGGUGGCCUCGCGAAGCACAUCCUCUCGGGUGACAUCCAAUCUCAUCGGAAUAAUUGUGCCUGCAAUGGGUUCCUCACUGUACUCUCGGAUCUUCAUCCAACCGCAAAGAAGUUUGGCGGGUAGCGAAUCUUGGGCCUCUUUCAUUCCAGCAAAAACCCGAUAACCCUUGUUAGCCAAAUGGGUGCACAAUUGAAGACCCAAUGCGGUAUCCGCACUGGUUAUCAGGACCACCCGACUGGGAUGACUAUCCGCAUUGGCAGAUGCGCUAUCCUCGCGCACCUUACAAAUCAGGUAGAUAAGCAGCGCGCCGGCGAUCGAAAAAAGCGCAAGCAACUGGAAGCCCAACACCAGCAUGGUCAUUGCCUCCAUUAUGACAUCGCUGGAAUAGCAGAAAAAAGGAUUGGACUAGGAUUAGGCCCAACCUCCAGCGGGUUGCCAACCGCCACCACCGCCGCCUCCGUGGCCGCCACCGCCGCCGGCACCUCCAUGGCCUCCAGAGCUCAGUUUGAUGAUUUUGAUGACCUUGGUGUCGCCACCUCCGCUACUUCCGUGGCCACCACUACCACCUGAUGACCAACCUCCGCCUCCUCCUCCUGAAGACCAGCCUCCUCCACCACCACUAUGUCCUCCUCCACCGCCUCCGAGACUAAUGAUUUUGAUGAGUUUUACAUCGCUGCCGCUUCCGCCGCCUCCCCCUGAGGACCAGCCACCCCCGCCACCUCCAGAAGACCAUCCACCUCCUCCCCCGCCGCCGCCAGAAGACCAUCCACCUCCUCCUCCGCCGCCUCCAGAGGACCAUCCACCUCCUCCCCCGCCGCCACCAGAUGACCCACUCUCGGUAAUAACUUUAAUAAUUUGUACGUCUCCUCCGCCGCCAUGGCCACCACCGCCACCACCUCCCGAUGACCAACCGCCUCCACUUCCUCCAGAGGACCAGCUACUUCCUCCGCCGGGCUUAGGGUUAGCCGUCACACUGGCCGCUCCAAUGAGCAUAAGACACACAAAGGCCUGAAAAGCAUAAACUUUAUUACAAUCACUUUAAAAAAAAUGUCCAGCAAGGCUGCCUGCAAAAUAGUUUUGGAUUAUGCAGGAUAAUUUAAUAGUUAUCCUGGCUUACAACGAACCGUACUUUCAUAGCUUGAAACACUCCGUUUGGGUUAACUAGUGAGUUAAGCGCAAAUCCACAACUGACACGACUGCAGAUGGCAGCGAGAGUUUUUAUACCAAACCAGGUGCAACAUAACUUUAACCGGAAAAGCUUGGCUCUGCCAGUUGGCAAAAGGAAAAACAUUUUUUAACGCUAACUGCGUGGUUGGCAGAUGUUGGAAGUGUUGCCGAGGCACUGGUAUGAAAAAAAUGUAUAUAUUAUGAUCAAAGAUACUUUAAAAAACAUAUAGGUUUAUUGCCAUAAGCAAAUUCG
Molecule: non-coding RNA, 2248 nt
Organism: Drosophila melanogaster (fruit fly)
Lineage: Eukaryota; Metazoa; Arthropoda; Insecta; Diptera; Drosophilidae
Source: Ensembl